CUGGCUGUGGCCUCCCAUAUAUCUUGCCAGUCGGAUCCCUCUAAUGUCUCACCCAGGUCCGUCUCCCACUGAUCUGUGUAACGUAAUUCCCCCCAUUCUUUGGCCUCUCCGCUGAGAUGUGAGUACAAUAAUGAUAUGAGUCCUUUGGGGUGUGUUUCUUGGUAGCAUAUAUUCUCGAACCAGGUGAGGGGGAGGGUGGCUAUCUCUUUGACUUCUUUUGAGCUAGCGAAGUCACGUAAUUGGAGGUAGCGGAAGAAAU
This is a non-coding RNA of Pelobates cultripes (western spadefoot toad), 259 nucleotides long. The record is from the annotation of a GenBank genome assembly. Lineage: Eukaryota; Metazoa; Chordata; Amphibia; Anura; Pelobatidae.